UUUGAAAUGGUAGGAGGAAGGCAGAGAGCCGCUUGGUUUUUCAGUUUCUGUCGCAGCUCCACCCUUCAGAUCCCCAUCUGCUCCGAUUGCGACGAGAGAGAUAGGGAUCCGACCGUCGCACUAUGAAGGUAGACUCUCCUCCUUAAGCCUCUUUUUAUUAUCUCUACAUGUAUGUGACCCAAAAAAGAAAAAAGUAAGAAGAGAAUACAUAAAGAAAAACGAAAAAGAACCACCUUAGAAAAAAUCCAUCGAUAUUUGAUUUCUCUAUUUUUUGUAUUUUAAUGUCUUUUUUUUACAUUCGAUUUUCUCUCAAUAUUUUUUGAUUUUUCUUCUAUUCAAUAUGUGUGUGUACCGUUUACAGAUUCUUAAAUCGGCCUUUAUAGCCGAAAUGAAAAAAAGAAAAUAAAAUAAAAAAUCAAAAGAAAUCUGUCCUUUUUCAUUUGCUGUUGAUUUCGCGUUGGGCCACUUCGUGAUUGGGCUAGGGUCUAGGCAAAUUGGGUUUAAAUUUUAAUGGGCCCUAGUGGAUUAGCAAUUUGGGCCUGAUGUCGGGUAGUUUAGGUAUUGGGUUUCUGUUAAUUGGACUUUGGGUAUGUAAUUUUGGUUUUUUUUUUAAAUUGGGUUAAUGUAAUGGACAUUUGGACUUUUAAUUUUUUUAUUUUUAUAUUUGGGUUUUAAUAUCUGUAUUGGGCCGGGCAAAAUUUGGGUAUUACAAUAGUGAAAUUAAAAUCAACUUCGUAGUAUAUAUUUAAAUUUAUAUGCAACACUACUAGUGAGAUCAAAAUUGAAAAUAAC
RNAcentral lists this long non-coding RNA (792 nucleotides) under Gossypium barbadense (sea-island cotton). RNAcentral's name for it is "long non-coding RNA (GBAR_LNC022200)". The record is from RNAcentral. Lineage: Eukaryota; Viridiplantae; Streptophyta; Magnoliopsida; Malvales; Malvaceae.